GUCCGUUCAAAUUGCCACCAUGCAAUUGUCAAAAAAAAAAAUUGCCACCAUGCAAAAGAUCCCUUCAAUAUGAUACAUGAUUCAUCUGCGAUACAAAUAUUGACAAUUCAGCUUCAAUCGAUUUUCUUAGCCUCAUUUGAGAUGAUUGCAAUCUCUGCCUUAAAUUUUGAAAGGCAUAUGCUACUAAAGAAUGUUAUGAUACAUUCUUUUAGCAUCACCCUUUUCACUCAACCUUUUUGAUACUUGCACAAAAUAUUAUUGGUGUGCUUAGUGUGUCAUUCUAUGGUUUGGUUUUCUCCAAGUUUUUGUCAUUGUUUUCAUUUUUUUGUAGAGUCUUCUUUGCAAUCAUUAGCAUCCUCUGAUUGCAUGUGUUUGUGUGUGUACAUAAACAUUUUGCCUAUCCUAUUAACUCUGAAUAUAGAGAGAAAGAGUUAAAAGGUUAGGCAAUGUUGAAUUGGAUUCUUAUUUGUUAUUUUGGGUGUGCAUACAUUAUGUAAUAAUCAUUUUUCUCUGGUUUGGUUUUGAUGUACUGAAACUUAACUAUAUUAGGGAGUGGAAAUGCAUUUUGGUUUUGGUGUGUACAUACUAUUUUAAUUAACAUAGGCACCUUAUUAUAGAGAAUUCUUCAAAGAAAGAAAAAUGAAAGUGAGAACCUUCCCGAAGAUUUUCUCAGAACAAAACCAAACAAUUAGCUUCUCUCUAUCUACCUAGCACAAACAUUUCAUAUCGGUGGCGUGUCCACACGACACUGACAAAUGUAGUUACAUUCAACUACUUUCAUUUUCUUGAAUCAGUAGCAAUGUCUAUGUGUUAGUGUUGUGUUUGGUGUCUGUGUCGGUGCUUCAGAGCUCUCUAUCUCUCUGGCUCUUUCUCUACACAUGAAAGAAGAUUUUAACAUUGGUACUUCCCAAAUUUUCCAUGUUUUAGAUGAGAAAUGCAAUAUAGAUAGAGAAAACAUCACUAAGUAAGAGGAAACUUAGGUAAAUGAAAAGAGCAGCUAAAACCAUUGAAAAGCUUCAUUUGCUUUCCAACCAGAAAAACUGUACAUAUAGGAAAUGCAAAUAUUUUUACUUACAGAUUAUACGAGACACCUCUUAGCAGCUCAAGAAGCUCUAUUUGCAUUCUUAUUUUGUGGUCUAUUUUCUGUGUAGAAGAAGAAUUUUGAGUGACUGCAUUCUUAUUUGGUUGUUGU
Molecule: long non-coding RNA, 1192 nt
Filed under: Trifolium pratense (red clover)
Lineage: Eukaryota; Viridiplantae; Streptophyta; Magnoliopsida; Fabales; Fabaceae
Description: long non-coding RNA (TPRA_LNC003648)
Source: RNAcentral